RNAcentral lists this ribosomal RNA (253 nucleotides) under uncultured bacterium. RNAcentral's name for it is "partial 16S ribosomal RNA". It matches the Rfam family "Bacterial small subunit ribosomal RNA", at positions 524 to 776 of the family's 1533-position model. The record is from RNAcentral.
UACGUAGGGGGCAAGCGUUGUCCGGAAUCAUUGGGCGUAAAGAGCGUGUAGGCGGCCAGAAAAGUCCGCUGUGAAAACUCGAGGCUCAACUUCGAGCUGUCGGUGGAAACUUUCUGGCUAGAGUCCGGAAGAGGAGAAUGGAAUUCUUGGUGUAGCGGUGAAAUGCGCAGAUAUCAGGAAGAACACCCGUGGCGAAGGCGGUUCUCUGGGACGGUACUGACGCUGAGACGCGAAAGCGUGGGGAGCGAACAGG